This 2049-nucleotide long non-coding RNA is filed under the name Macaca nemestrina (pig-tailed macaque). RNAcentral's name for it is "lncRNA (ENSMNEG00000045881.1)". The record is from RNAcentral. Lineage: Eukaryota; Metazoa; Chordata; Mammalia; Primates; Cercopithecidae.
GAAUUGGGAGCUUCUUUUGCUAUUCUUCUAUCUUGGAUGCAUUGGAAGGUCCAGAUUUUGAAGAAAUCUCUCUAGAGGUUGAACAGGUGAGGCUCACCUUUCAAUAGUUACACCAAGAAAGGCCUAGCUGGUGACUUAAGCUAUGGUUUUGGGCUGCACGAGAGUGGUCAGGCAGACAGUGGGGAAGUCUACACAUAACCCAAAGGGGAAAGAGAAAAGACCCCAAGAAAUCAGGGCAAAGUCCCACAGUGUCUGUUUCUUGAUGGUGUCACUGGCAUGUGGGUUACCUUCCCACUGCGUCCCCCAAAGGACAUGAGGCCAUAGACUGCAGUGCCCGUGAACAGAGGAGCUGUGGGAGUGGUAGUUUGAUCGCUCCCUUCAAACGCACACCCCGGUGUGUGCACGUCUCUUCUGAUGCAGCGCCCCAAUGGGUAAGCUCUGUGCUUCUCCACACAGUGGAUUAAGAGUGGAAACCUUCUCUCUGUUUAGCGCUUGACGGUUUGGUUGUGACCUCAAGUCAUGGUGAUCAGAGCCAAUGAUCCUAACAGUUUAAAAUUGUUGAGCUUGUGGGUAGGUUUUUGGGAGGUAGCAUAUGUGUUACCUGGUGUUUGUCAUCUGCAGUGGUUUUGUUACUUUUUGCAUAGACUGCGGAGAAUGUUUACUAAUUGCAGAUGAUAGAGAAAUCAGCAGUCACUCUAAAAUCCUCCCAUUUCUUGGUCUAGAGCUGCUCCUGGAUCCCGCAGCAGCGAGGAGACCUGAAGACCAGAGGAAACACAGCAAUCCCUGGAUCCUCCUGGAAUCCCCGAUCCCUGUUGCUCCCUCGGGGAGGUUUCUAGUCCCUCUGACUUGAAGCAUGGCUUUCAGAGCCCGGCGCCACCCAGCUUGGGUAUCUGGUGAGUACUGUGGUCUGCAUAUCCAUGUUUGUGACAUUCUGGGAAGGGUGGCCCAGGCUGUGAUUUGCCAUCUACUGCUGCAGGCUACGGAUGGUAUUCAGAAGGGAGGGGAGAUGCCGUGUGCGUGUUCUGAAGAGUUUCCCACUGCACAGACCAACCCUCUCCAUAACUAUUUGAUUUUUACUUUAUCUCCUCGUUGACUUCACAGUGUCAGUGCAGUUUGUGUAAUCAUCUCUACGGGGUGAUGCAGGCAGAUAUAAAGUCUGCACGUGUGGGCAAACUCUCCACAUCAUGUCAUUUAUUGUCCAUCAUUACAUGUCUAUGGUGUCUCGCUCAUUUCUCUCAUUUUCUGUCAUUUUACCUACUUUUACCUGAAGUACAAUGACUAUUUAAUAACUAUUAUUUCAUUUCAAUACACCUCUAUGGUAUUUUUUCACCUCACAUUGGACCUUCCUCCCUCACUGGACUUCAAUGUGGGACCUGCAGGUCUCAGGCCUUCUGGGAUGUCCCAGUUUUACUUGAAUGUUCUCUCUGGCCGGCUCAGGCCGGAGCAGUGGGUGUUGGCGCCACCCUGUGGCUAUAGGUGAUAAGCCGGCUGUUGUUGACUGAUCCCUGUCUUACCUUGAACCCUGGAGUUCUCACAUGCGUGGAUUUAAACGCUGUGUCUUUCUAAGGGAAGAUUGUGCCCAUUUUCCUUCUCUCCCUCCCAAGGCACUGUUUCCUGUGUUUAUUGACUCCCCGUUUUUUUUUUUUUAAGAUAUAUAUAUAUAGAUAGAUGAAUUAGAUUGUACCCCAUAAAUUGCAUGUUUUAAAAAUACUUCAAAGAAUAGUUUCUCAUUUUUUUCUUGCUGAUUUUUACCUAUCUUCUAAAUUGUAUAUGGGGUAUAAAAUGAUGUGAUUUUUCAAUGCAGUGUGGAAUAAGAAUCAAAUUAAUCUAUCCGUUACCUCAAAUCCUUGACUUUUUUUUGUGGUGAGAAUGCUGUUUAUCACUUUCACUCAUCAGCUCCUGAUGUCUUCCAUGCAGGGACAGGAAAGGCUCCACCACUUGACUUUCCCUCUGUUUUCCUUUUUUUUUUUUUUUUUUUUUUGAGACGGAGUCUUGCUCAGUUGCCCAGGUGAUGUGCAGUGGCGGAUCUCAGCUCACACUGCAAGCUAC